This 254-nucleotide ribosomal RNA is filed under the name uncultured bacterium. RNAcentral describes it as "partial 16S ribosomal RNA". It matches the Rfam family "Bacterial small subunit ribosomal RNA", at positions 524 to 776 of the family's 1533-position model. The record is from RNAcentral.
UACGAAGGGUGCAAGCGUUGUUCGGAAUUAUUGGGCGUAAAGCGCACGUAGGCGGCCUUGUAAGUCUCACUGUGAAAGUCCGGGGCUCAACCCCGGGAUGCCAGGGGAUACUGCGAGGCUUGAGACAAGUAGAGGUUGGUAGAAUUCCGGGUGUAGCGGUGGAAUGCGUAGAGAUCCGGAGGAAUACCAGAGGCGAAGGCGGCCAACUGGGCUUGUUCUGACGCUGAGGUGCGAAAGCGUGGGGAGCGAACAGG